GACGUAGGGGCGAGCGUUGUCCGGAAUUACUGGGCGUAAAGAGCACGUAGGCGGGAACCUAAGUCAGGUGUGAAAGACCGUGGCUCAACCACGGGGUGGCAUUUGAAACUGGGUUUCUUGAGGGCAGGAGAGGAAAGCAGAAUUCCUGGUGUAGCGGUGAAAUGCGUAGAAAUCAGGAGGAAUACCAGUGGCGAAGGCGGCUUUCUGGACUGACCCUGACGCUGAGGUGCGAAAGCGUGGGUAGCAAACAGGAUUAGAUACCCGCGUAGUCCCUGAG
This 277-nucleotide ribosomal RNA is filed under the name uncultured prokaryote. Its description in RNAcentral is "partial 16S ribosomal RNA". It matches the Rfam family "Bacterial small subunit ribosomal RNA", at positions 524 to 801 of the family's 1533-position model. The record is from RNAcentral.